Molecule: transfer RNA, 83 nt
Filed under: Anaerolineae bacterium
Lineage: Bacteria; Bacillati; Chloroflexota; Anaerolineae
Description: tRNA-Leu
Rfam family: tRNA
About the family: Transfer RNA (tRNA) molecules are approximately 80 nucleotides in length.
Source: RNAcentral
GGGGCGGUGGCGAAAUGGCAGACGCGACGGACUUAAAAUCCGUUGGAGGAAACUCCGUGUGGGUUCGAGUCCCACCCGCCCUA